AAAGGGCGUGUGGGGAGGACUGGGCCAUAGCUCCCGUCUCAGGCCCCCCACCGGGCCUUGAAGCUCAGUUUCUGUUUCUAACCCAGUGCCAGGCCCUUGAGCACGGCUGUACUCACCCUAGCAAUCUGGCGACGGCCGUGGCCCACAGGACACUUCCUGCUUAGCUUCUGUUUUCCUGUGACCCCCAGAAUGUCACCUGGCAAGGCUCAACAUUCCUGCCUGGGACUGAGCGGCUCGAAUCCCUUGUGUGUGUCACAGACAGUUUUCAGCUGUGGUGGGAAAGCACUGAGUGAAGAGGAAGUACCAGGUCCUGAUGAGGCUCAGCAUCUCGGGCAGGGAGCUGGGAGGAGCGGGGAGAAACGGCGAGAAGGCUCUAAAGGUCAGCUGCAGUGUCCCCCAGUUUUCCUGCACCUUCUCAACAAAUUCCAGCUGACCCACUAAUAGCUUUAGAAAACUUGACCUUCUGUAAAAAUGAAGAAACUAAAAUUGCAGCCCUGCCUGUAGCUUGGAAGCUGUGGAAGCAUGACACCAUGAUGAGGCAGUCCGGGGAGGGCGCCAAAGCAAAACAGAACCGGCAGUGGAAAUUUUACGCCACAAAAGGUUAGUGGGCUGGGUUGAAUGUGGGUAAGAUCUCAUAGGAUCUUAGAUCCAGUGCAUUUUCUAACAGCAGAUUUCAGUAAGAAGGGUUGUCAGUACACCUCAGUCUGGAGUUGGACUUGGGGCAGAGAGCUACUACUUUUCUUUCCAGGGAAGCCCUAAUGAGAAAUGAAUCAAUUCCUCUUCUCCAAUGAUCUAUCCCACAUCCCCUCCUGGACCAACCUACCUAAAACAGGACCCCACUCCUCCAUUCAGAAAACUAAUCACAUCAUGUAAGAACUUUUAAGGGUGACCUACUGUGUAGUCAAUCAGGUACACAUUCCUUUGCCCGGUUAUUUAAAAAUCCUACAUAAUUUAGCCGCGCCCCACCCAUCCACUGGUGCUCUCCCACACACAUCUGCUAAUCUAGUCGGGCUGCCCUUCUCACUGUCCCCAGAGAGCUUACUCAUUGCUGCCUUUGUGUUUCCAUACCCAGUAUUCUUCACUUUCAACCCUGGAUCUUAAUAUACUCUUCCUCUUUAACAGUCCCCUGAAGACCCCACCUUCGGAGAGUUUGCCAACUAUUUCGGUUUUCACCUCUCCCAUCUCCAAGUACUCAUCAAGUCACACAUGUGUAUAUACACACUUUGCCUCUCCAACUACACUGUAAGCCACCAUGAAUAUGAAUUUUAUGUUACAGUGCCCCACAUAAAGUGUACUCAAUAAAUAACUGUUGUUUAAUUGCA
Lagenorhynchus albirostris (white-beaked dolphin) is the source of this 1322-nucleotide long non-coding RNA. RefSeq lists it as uncharacterized. The transcript has 2 exons. The record is from RefSeq and is a predicted model, not a curated record. Lineage: Eukaryota; Metazoa; Chordata; Mammalia; Artiodactyla; Delphinidae.